GAUCCCGUAGCAGAGCUUUGAUAGUUUGGCAUUUCUCAUAAAUUGAGCUGUCCUUUAAUGGCAACGAUUCAGUUUUCUUCGUGAUUUUCCACUAAGAACUUCCAUCGCCCUUGUGUCUGUCCACUAUACAUCACGUUAUUUGCUGGAGAAUGUGUUUCACGCGCCUGGCGAUUUGGGGAUUUUUGGCCUUUUCACUGUCGGGCCUGACCGUUGUGGAAAACCUGACAACAAUAGUAACAAGGGGCCCAACUCUUGACGACUGCAUUUGGACGGGCACAGCCCCGUUUUGUGAAGUAGGAUGCGACAUGGUGGGCUAUGUUGCUCGCGAAACCAGCUCAUCGGGCGACGGUGCCACAUGCUGGAGCGGAAUCAAAGUCCUCUGCUGUCCAGCCUCUUAGUCAUGACAGGAUAACGCAAUUGUCUGGCAUCCCAUCCCACUUCUGUGUAUCUACACGCUCUCUCUAUAUACAUGUUAUGCUGUAUCAUCUGUAUAUGCAUAAUGCAUAAUAAGUUAAUAACUGGCAAUUAAAAUUUAUUGAGAAAUCGUCUGGAUGAAAUUUUAUUCGUUUGGAUUACAUAACUUGACUGUCUUAAAUGGGAAAUUAAAUAUGACGCAAAUCGUGUAGUUGUCAGACCGCUUUGAAAAUUUCACCUUGAUCAGUUGUUUUAAAAAU
Molecule: long non-coding RNA, 674 nt
Organism: Daphnia pulex (common water flea)
Lineage: Eukaryota; Metazoa; Arthropoda; Branchiopoda; Diplostraca; Daphniidae
Exons: 3
Source: RefSeq, a predicted model, not a curated record